GAUGAACGCUGGCGGCGUGCCUAAUACAUGCAAGUCGCGCGAAGCGGGCACGGGUGAGUAACAUGUGGUUAACCUCCUAUAAGACUCGGACACCUUCGCGAAACCGGAGCCAACCCGGAUACUUAUAGAUGGAUCCGCGCUGCAUUAGCUAGUUGGUAAGGUAACGGCUUACCAAGGCAACGAUGCAUAGCCGACCUGAGAGGGUGAGCGGCCUCACUGGAACUGAGACACGGUCCAGGCUCCUACGGGAGGCAUAAGUAGGGAAUCUUCCGCGAUGGGCGAGAGCCUGACAAAGCAGCGACGCGUGGGUGAUGAAGGUCUUCGGAUCGUAAAACUCUGUUAUUAGGGAGGCGGUACCUACUCAGAAAGCCACGGCUAACUUCGUGCCAGCAGCCGCGGUAAUAC
This 405-nucleotide ribosomal RNA is filed under the name uncultured bacterium. RNAcentral's name for it is "partial 16S ribosomal RNA". It matches the Rfam family "Bacterial small subunit ribosomal RNA", at positions 28 to 526 of the family's 1533-position model. The record is from RNAcentral.